AGCGAACGCUGGCGGCGUGCUUAACACAUGCAAGUCGAACGUGAACGGGAGCAAUCCUUAGUAAAGUGGCGUACGGGUGAGUAACACGUAGGUAAUCUACCUUACAGUUCGGAAUAACCUGACGAGAGUCGGGCUAAUACUGGAUAGAGCGAUGGAAGUCGUAACGACUUUUUCGGGAAAGGGAGCUCGAUAAGAGCCUU
This 200-nucleotide ribosomal RNA is filed under the name uncultured bacterium. Its description in RNAcentral is "partial 16S ribosomal RNA". It matches the Rfam family "Bacterial small subunit ribosomal RNA", at positions 29 to 217 of the family's 1533-position model. The record is from RNAcentral.